AAAGUCGUAACAAGGUUUCCGUAGGUGAACCUGCGGAAGGAUCAUUACCAGUGCCGCCGGCGCCGCCUGGACCCUCCGGGGUUUCCAGGCGUGCGUCGGUCUGAGCCCCACCCGUGAACACUGAACCUCAAGUUGCCUUGGCGGGCCCGCCGCGAAAUGCGGCCGCCGGGGGUGCCGGGGGGCGCCUCUAAGCGUCCCCCGGUCCCGGGCCUGUGCCCGCCGAUGGAAGAGUGAACUUCUGAUAGAAUGGACCGUCUGAGUGAUUUGUAAAUCAUUAAAACUUUCAACAACGGAUCUCUUGGUUCCG
This 307-nucleotide unclassified non-coding RNA is filed under the name Ascomycota sp. Its description in RNAcentral is "partial contains small subunit ribosomal RNA, internal transcribed spacer 1, and 5.8S ribosomal RNA". The stretch from base 1 to 47 matches the Rfam family "Eukaryotic small subunit ribosomal RNA", at positions 1785 to 1831 of the family's 1831-position model. The record is from RNAcentral. Lineage: Eukaryota; Fungi; Ascomycota.